RNAcentral lists this ribosomal RNA (333 nucleotides) under uncultured bacterium. RNAcentral describes it as "partial 16S ribosomal RNA". It matches the Rfam family "Bacterial small subunit ribosomal RNA", at positions 338 to 682 of the family's 1533-position model. The record is from RNAcentral.
CCUACGGGAGGCUGCAGUCGAGAAUCAUUCACACUGGGGGAAACCCUGAUGGGGCGACGCCGCGUGGGGGAAUGAAGGUCUUCGGAUUGUAAACCCCUGUCAUGUGGGAGAAAAUUAAAAAGAUAGUACCACAAGAGGAAGAGACGGCGAACGCUGUGCCAGCAGCCGCGGUAAUACAGAGGUCGCAAGCGUUGUUCGGAACCACUGGGCGUAAAGCGUGCGUAGGCUGUUGCGUAAGUCGUGUGUGAAAGGCGCGGGCUAACCCCGCGGACGGCACCUGAUACUUCGAGACUAGACUACUGGAGCGGGAACCGGAAUUCUCGGUGUAGCCGU